RNAcentral lists this ribosomal RNA (645 nucleotides) under uncultured bacterium. Its description in RNAcentral is "bacterial SSU rRNA". It matches the Rfam family "Bacterial small subunit ribosomal RNA", at positions 232 to 885 of the family's 1533-position model. The record is from RNAcentral.
CGCGGCCUAUCAGCUUGUUGGUGAGGUAACGGCUCGCCAAGGCAACGACGGGUAGCUGGUCUGAGAGGACGAUCAGCCACACUGGGACUGAGACACGGCCCAGACUCCUACGGGAGGCAGCAGCAGGGAAUAUUGCACAAUGGGCGAAAGCCUGAUGCAGCGACGCCGCGUGGGGGAUGAAGGCCUUCGGGUUGUAAACCCCUUUCAGGAGGGACGAAGCGAAAGUGACGGUACCUCCAGAAGAAGCCCCGGCCAACUACGUGCCAGCAGCCGCGGUAAUACGUAGGGGGCGAGCGUUGUCCGGAUUUAUUGGGCGUAAAGAGCUCGUAGGCGGCUCAACAAGUCGGCCGUGAAAGCCCGAGGCUUAACCUCGGGACGCCGGUCGAAACUGUUGUGGCUAGGGUCCGGUAGAGGAGAGUGGAAUUCCCGGUGUAGCGGUGAAAUGCGCAGAUAUCGGGAGGAACACCAGUAGCGAAGGCGGCUCUCUGGGCCGGCACCGACGCUGAGGAGCGAAAGCUAGGGGAGCAAACAGGAUUAGAUACCCUGGUAGUCCUAGCCGUAAACGAUGGGUACUAGGUGUGGCGGAUUCAUUGACAUCUGCCGUGCCGAAGCUAACGCAUUAAGUACCCCGCCUGGGGAGUACGG